Molecule: long non-coding RNA, 1155 nt
Organism: Cyprinus carpio (common carp)
Lineage: Eukaryota; Metazoa; Chordata; Actinopteri; Cypriniformes; Cyprinidae
Source: Ensembl
AUUUGAACAUACUGUAACUUUUGGACAGAGGCAUCUUGAAUAGUUUUUAAUGUAAAUGCAAAGAGUCCUCUGUGUGGAGCUCCUCUGAGGGCGGACGAUGUAAAAUGCUGAGUCACCCUUACUGAGCUGAAUCAAUGGAUAUACAAGCUAUUAUAUUUAAUCGUGUGCAUUGAAAUGAUGGAAUGCAGCUUAUUCCAGAAUAAAGGCUCCUUCAAAAGUGGAAAUGUUCUUGUCAGGUCACGCUACAGAUCCAUUCAGCUAUGCUUUUCUUCCUUGGAGAAAGUCCAGACUGCAGAAACCGACAUGUGCCCUGCGGAUAUGCAGAGAAAUGAAGAGCUGCCCUGCUUAAGUUCCCAAAAAAACCACAGGUGGUCUACAGAGACAAUCGUCUGGCUUUUGCAAAACCUGGAAUUUGCUGUAGGGUGUUUAACAAACACCGUGCGUUUCCUCAAUAAAAGGAGCAAUGCAGUCAAGUAAGACCAGGAGCAUUCACAGCAUUCUGAAAAAAUGAACUGAGAGAAGAGGACAGUCAACACUGUAAGUGGAGCCUGCAGUCAAAUGCCUUGCUCAAUGACACAUUGCUCAAUAGUGAUGCCACAAACACUAACAGAGUUUAACAGCUUUUCAUAUUUACACCCUCUUAGUUUAACCAAAACACAGACAAACUAACUGUUAGUAAAUCCUUGAAGAGGAAUUACAAUCCAUGGAUGCUUUUAAAGGGAUUUCAAUUGAGUUAAGCUUGCCAGACAUAACUUAACCUGUCAGCUUUUUUUCAGGCUCAAGUACAGGGUAAAAUCUAUUUGCAAUCAAAUUUAAAAAGAAAUAUGAGCUUGACAAUCAAAAUGCAUAAUUUUCAUACAAAGAAAUACACUCUAUAUAAGAUUGUUCUAAAUGUAGAUAAAAGUUUUCCUCUUCAUCUGUUGGUCAGUGAUUUUGAACAGCAGUAAUCAUUCUCUGCAUCACUCUGCCCUCUGCUGCACGAUCUGGUCAUUGCAUUUUGGAUUUGACUUUUCUGUGCUACACAAAUCCAGUGCAACUGUAAUUGGAAACUGGGUAGCAUUUUCUUUUUUUCUUUCUUUUAGCAGAAAGUUAUUGCAUGUUUCAGGUACAGUUAAGGUACUGAAAUAAACAACAUUAGUCACAAGUUUUUGAACA